This 412-nucleotide ribosomal RNA is filed under the name Prochlorococcus sp. EGEMACC 6. RNAcentral's name for it is "partial 16S ribosomal RNA". It matches the Rfam family "Bacterial small subunit ribosomal RNA", at positions 353 to 769 of the family's 1533-position model. Lineage: Bacteria; Bacillati; Cyanobacteriota; Cyanophyceae; Synechococcales; Prochlorococcaceae. The record is from RNAcentral.
GGUUGGGGAAUUUUCGGAAUGGGCGAAAACCUGACGGAGCAAAGCCGCGUGAAGGAUGACGGCCUAUGGGUUGUAAACUUCUUUUUUCAGAGAAGAAUUUUUGACGGUAUUUGAGGAAUAAGCAUUGGCUAACUUUGUGCCAGCAACCGCGGUAAGACAGAGGAUGCAAGCGUUAUCCGGAAUGAUUGGGCGUAAAGCGUUUGUAGGUGGGUUAAAAAAUUUCCUGUCAAAGAUCAGGGCUUAACCCUGGGCCGGCAGGAGAAACUUUUAGGGCUAGAGUUUGGUAGGGGCAGAGGGGAAUUCCCCGUGGAAAAAAAGGAGGGGGUAGAGCGCUUAGGAGGAAACACCAAAGGGGAAAGGGAGCUGGAGGGCCAGGGGUUACAAUCAAACUUUUUAAGAGAGAUGGGGGAGG